Long non-coding RNA from Phascolarctos cinereus (koala), 709 nucleotides. RefSeq lists it as uncharacterized. Lineage: Eukaryota; Metazoa; Chordata; Mammalia; Diprotodontia; Phascolarctidae. The record is from RefSeq and is a predicted model, not a curated record.
UCAGACCAAAGCGAGCCAGUAAACAAAAUCAAGAACUUCGUGAUCAUUGUCAGUAAGACAGCAAGUCAGGAUGUGGGACUGAUAUCCUGGCCCUGGGUCAAGAGCAAUGAGUAGGACCAAGAAAGGCCAACAGCCAACAUGGAAUUAUACCUGGAGGAGGUGGCCACUAUGUGCAUGAUUUAUGAUAGCAGCACCAGUGGCUAGAAGCUAUUGGUGAUAGAUUGGCUGACUCUGCUUCUGCUGAGGACGAGUACAGGCCCUAACAGUUAUUAUAUGAACAAGGAUGGAGACCAGUGUUAGAUAAUUUUAUUUUCCAUGGUAACAGAUUUCGAGGCUCCUCACAGUACUAUACAAGGAAACUGAGACUCAUAUAGAGGUCUCAUACAUACAGUAAGUGGCAGAUCUAAGAUUUGAACACAAGUCUUCCUGCUCCAGGUCCACUGUUCUUUUCACUAUUCAAGAAAAAAUAGUAGAAUGAACAUUACCAACAGAACAAUUGAAGCCGAAUUCUGGGAAAUUGUAGUGAAUGACCAAACUUGGCCUCAAGAAAGGAUAAGAAAACUGAGACUGAAAAAUGGAGGCUGACUUUCUCAAGAUCACAUAGGUACCCCAAACUGGAAGACUCACCCUGGCAGAACGGGCAGAUGAGAACAAUUUGUCCCAACGGCCAUGAAGAUGGCUAAAGCAGGCACUGUGGAGUGCUUAGAGC